UACGUAGGGGGCAAGCGUUAUCCGGAUUUACUGGGUGUAAAGGGAGCGUAGACGGCGCUGCAAGUCCGGAGUGAAAGCCCAUGGCUUAACCAUGGUACUGCUCUGGAAACUGUGGAGCUUGAGUGCGGGAGAGGUAAGCGGAAUUCCUGGUGUAGCGGUGAAAUGCGUAGAUAUCAGGAGGAACACCGGCGGCGAAGGCGGCUUACUGGACUGUAACUGACGUUGAGGCUCGAAGGCGUGGGGAGCAAACAGG
RNAcentral lists this ribosomal RNA (253 nucleotides) under uncultured Eubacteriales bacterium. RNAcentral describes it as "uncultured Clostridiales bacterium partial 16S ribosomal RNA". It matches the Rfam family "Bacterial small subunit ribosomal RNA", at positions 524 to 776 of the family's 1533-position model. Lineage: Bacteria; Bacillati; Bacillota; Clostridia; Eubacteriales. The record is from RNAcentral.